UACGGAGGGUGCAAGCGUUGUCCGGAUUUAUUGGGUUUAAAGGGUGCGCAGGUGGGCAUUUAAGUCUGGUUUGAAAGCAGGUGGCUCAACCAUCUGAUGUGGCUGGAAACUGGAUAUCUUGAAUGGGUUGGCGGUAGCCGGAAUGGGUCAUGUAGCGGUGAAAUGCAUAGAUAUGACCCGGAACACCGAUUGCGAAGGCAGGCUACUACGACUUGAUUGACACUGAGGCACGAGAGCAUGGGUAGCGAACAGG
RNAcentral lists this ribosomal RNA (253 nucleotides) under uncultured bacterium. Its description in RNAcentral is "partial 16S ribosomal RNA". It matches the Rfam family "Bacterial small subunit ribosomal RNA", at positions 524 to 776 of the family's 1533-position model. The record is from RNAcentral.